RNAcentral lists this unclassified non-coding RNA (334 nucleotides) under uncultured Glomeraceae. RNAcentral describes it as "sequence contains 18S rRNA gene". The record is from RNAcentral. Lineage: Eukaryota; Fungi; Glomeromycota; Glomeromycetes; Glomerales; Glomeraceae.
CCCAACUAUCCCUAUUAAUCAUUACAUCGAUCCUAAAAACCAAUAAAAUAGGAUUAAACGUCCUAUUUCAUUAUUCCAUGCUAAUGUAUUCAAGCGCGAGCCUGCUUUAAACACUCUAAUUUUUUCAAAGUAACAGACCUGAUUCCCCGGCACACCAACUGAAUGGCAUUAUGGUUCUUCAGAAGGGAGGAAUCAGUGACACCAGUGCAUACCAAAGGCACGACCAGCGUACUGAUCCCGAAAUUCAACUACGAGCUUUUUAACUGCAACAACUUUAAUAUACGCUAUUGGAGCUGGAAUUACCGUGGCUGCUGGCACCAGACUUGCCCUCCAA